GAGGCUGCAAUAUAUUACGGAAAGAUGUUGGACCCAUUUUUGGGCUGUUUCAUCACGGCAGAAGAAGUGCUGAUUGGUUGGCUUUUGGGAGGCACAUGGGUGAUAUUAAUAUGUAAGGUAGCACUCCACCGUCCAACAUUUAAUCACGCACACUUGAGCAGCUAGAAACGGCCAGCAACACAUGGAAAGAACUGCAGCACGGGCCAUGGGAAAAUAAAUGCAGCCGAUCCAUCUUAAGGAGCUCCACACGGACAACACUCCAGCACAUUAGAUGAGAGCAGCUAUCCAUCUUCAAGCUCCAGCAACGUCAAGCAAGCUUGAAGUCUAGCAUGUGAGAAGCUACAAGAAGCUCUCGGGCCACCAGUGAGUGCAGCACAUUCAGCGGUUUGGUAAAGGAGCUCACGGCCCAGCAGCUUGCAUUUGAGAAGCCUAUUUGCACAAACAUCUCCACGAUAUAGCAGCCUUGAGGCAGCAACACAUUGCAAGUCCAAUACUCCACCUGGCAGCAAAGGAAGCUUCAAGCAGGCCUCAACGUUGGAGAAAAAAAAAGGCCUCCUCACGCAUCCACGCAGCAGCAUCCAAAUUUCACGUGUCCAACUGCUUGGCCACAAGGUCCAGCAAAGUGAAUUGGUGGUGCGUCCAGGAGCUACAAGAAGAUCUCGGUCCAGCUGCAGCCCACGGUUCAGCAGAAGCAGCAGAGGUGCACACUCAGCAGUCUCCACUUCCCUACAGUUUUAGCCCAACACGUUUCCAUGCACACAGCAGCUGACUUUUGGCUUGAAUGAAGAAGCUUGGAGAGGACUUACGUCCAUGACCCAUGUGCACAAGAGAAGUGAAGGAGAGAUGCAAACAACAAAGCAUUGAACAGCAGCACAUAUCCAGCCUCCAUGAUCCAGCAGCUGCCACAGAUUCCUUACUAUCCAGAAAAGCAAGCAGCCUAUGGAUCUCUUGUGGCAGACGUUAGCAACUUGGGAGGUGCGGCAAGAAGUUCAGCAGUACACGUCCAGAAUGAGCUUGGACACAUAACCCUAGGAGAGGGACUUAUUCCUAGGACAGUCGCGCACUGCAUGAAAUAUAUUUUGUUGCGAACAAUUUUGAGAGGGCUUCUUUUGAGGGGAGCUACAAAUAAUUUGACUUUGGCUGGAACGUGUGAGGGAGAGAGCUUUCAUUCUUGAAAAAAAAAAAUAUUGAGGAUGGAAUGGAGAGAUAUGGGUUAGGUCUAGCCGCCACUCUCUCUUUAGCUAGUUUUUCUUGAACCUUGAUUGUGAAAGAGUGAAUGGAGAGAAUUAUUUUACUUUUCUUUUGAAUGAAUAGUGAUUAAGUGUUGAUGUUCACUUGUUUAUUGAUAUCUUUUUUAUAUUCAACAAUGUGCAAUGCAUGGGAGUUGUUCUUUACUUUUUUUUUAAUUGCGUUGAAGACCGUGC
Molecule: long non-coding RNA, 1424 nt
Filed under: Vigna radiata
Lineage: Eukaryota; Viridiplantae; Streptophyta; Magnoliopsida; Fabales; Fabaceae
Description: long non-coding RNA (VRAD_LNC001062)
Source: RNAcentral